GGUGAAACAUAUCCAAAUAAUUUGACAUCAAACUUAAUGGUUGAUAACAUGUUAUUAUUUUUGCAAUUUUGAUGGUAGAAAGCCUAAAUCACCAUCGCGGGAUUAGGACGCCUUGCACCAUAUCAAAUAACAAAAACAAGUUUAAAUCGAAACUUGCUUACGAAAAGCGGGUGACCUGUACAUUAUUAUGUAAUACAGGUAAGCAUUUCCAUGAGAGGUGUUCAGGUAGGACCAAGGUCAGUAGAAGAUGGAGAAGACAGAGGUUCUUGGUGCGUUGUUGCAAUUUCCACACUUUCAGGGAAGGAACGCACUUGCCAAUGAGGAAGCGAGGGGCUUGUUGCAGCUGUCCAACGGUCUGAACAAGUCCUCAACAAGUAAGAUGACUGGGCAGUGGCUCCCAACUGCUGUUUACCGGGUGAUUGGAUGCGUCGCCGAUCAAAGACAUCAGAUUCAUGUUGGACAUCGCCUGCGCCCAUGCCAAAAUUGUCUCGCUUGUUGAAGUUUGUCUUGUAGUUUAUUUGCAGGGUUGACAUUUGAUAUGAAAUGUAAUCUUUGCCUUGGAUAGUAAUAUUCUGCAUAAAAUUUGUAUAAAAUAAUUGUUGUACGCAGCAGAAUUUUUAACGAAACUUCUGAUCUGAGAAAAAGAAAGAAAUGAAUGGCGUCGACCCUGCAUGUCGCUGGUUAUAUAUGAUACAUUCUUUCUAAAUCGCAGUACAGUACUCUAUCCGCUCAUAUCGUUUCAAGGUAUUUUAUUUAUUAUGUAUUUUUUUAUUGUGUCGGAAGUAAGUACCCAGCAAUUCUCAAACAAAAGUACGGUACUUUUUGGAGUUCACCUUUAACAAAGUAAUUUUAAUGCAAAAAGUAUUUUGCUGAAAUGAUCGAUGAAAACAGAAAUGAUAGUUAUCAAAUAUUAUUAUUAUUAUAAGGCGAUUUUUAGGUAGAGCACUGUGCCAGUGCUAUUGUUUUUCUAGUUGAAGGUAAAAAUUGUCUGUGGGCAAAUCUUCAGUUAGUCACUUAGCUGUGCAUUUGAGAAUAUUUGAAAUAUUUAUUUUGAAUUGAAUUGAAUUGAAU
Long non-coding RNA from Lingula anatina, 1071 nucleotides. RefSeq lists it as uncharacterized. Lineage: Eukaryota; Metazoa; Brachiopoda; Lingulata; Lingulida; Lingulidae. The record is from RefSeq and is a predicted model, not a curated record.